This 219-nucleotide unclassified non-coding RNA is filed under the name uncultured Tomentella. RNAcentral's name for it is "sequence contains ITS2". The record is from RNAcentral. Lineage: Eukaryota; Fungi; Basidiomycota; Agaricomycetes; Thelephorales; Thelephoraceae.
ACACCUCAACUCUCAUGGCUUUGCCAUGGUGAGCUUGGACUUUGGGGGUCUUGCUGGCCUACGGUCAGCUCCUCUCAAACAAAUCAGCUUGCCAGUGUUUGGUGGCGUUCACGGGUGUGAUAACUAUCUACGCUCGUGGUUUUCCACCGGGUAACCUUCAGCGAUGGAGGUUCGCUGGAGCUCACAGAUGUCUCUCCUUGGCGAGGACAGCUUUUGGAC